This 1017-nucleotide ribosomal RNA is filed under the name Legionellales bacterium. RNAcentral's name for it is "bacterial LSU rRNA". It matches the Rfam family "Bacterial large subunit ribosomal RNA", at positions 1898 to 2925 of the family's 2925-position model. The record is from RNAcentral. Lineage: Bacteria; Pseudomonadati; Pseudomonadota; Gammaproteobacteria; Legionellales.
GUGCAAGCCCUGAAUUGAAGCCCCGGUGAACGGCGGCCGUAACUAUAACGGUCCUAAGGUAGCGAAAUUCCUUGUCGGGUAAGUUCCGACCCGCACGAAUGGCGUAACGAUUUCCCCACUGUCUCAACCAUAGACUCAGCGAAACUGACUUCUCUGUUAAGAUGCAGAGUACCCGCGGCCAGACGGAAAGACCCCGUGCACCUUUACUACAGCUUCGCAGUGGAUUUAGAUCUAACAUGUGCAGGAUAGGUGGGAGGCUUUGAACUUGUGACGCCAGUUGCAAGUGAGCCAUCCUUGAGAUACCACCCUUGUUAUAUUUGAAUUCUAACCGCACUCUGUUAUCCAGAGUCGGGACCCUGCGUGGUGGGUAGUUUGACUGGGGUGGUCGCCUCCCAAAGAGUAACGGAGGCGCGCGAUGGUAGGCUCAGUACGGUUGGAAACCGUAUGACGAGUGUAAUGGCAAAAGCCUGCCUGACUGUAAGAGAGACAUCUCGAGCAGAGACGAAAGUCGGUCAUAGUGAUCCGGUGGUUCCACAUGGAAGGGCCAUCGCAAACGGAUAAAAGGUACGCCGGGGAUAACAGGCUGAUAACGCCCAAGCGUCCACAGCGACGGCGUUGUUUGGCACCUCGAUGUCGGCUCAUCACAUCCUGGGGCUGUAGCAGGUCCCAAGGGUUCGGCUGUUCGCCGAUUAAAGUGGUACGUGAGCUGGGUUUAGAACGUCGUGAGACAGUUCGGUCCCUAUCUACCGUGGGUGUAGGAAUAUUGAGAAGAGUUGCUCCUAGUACGAGAGGACCGGAGUGAACGUACCCCUGGUGUACCUGUUGUCGCGCCCGCGGCAUCGCAGGGUAGCUAUGUACGGACAGGAUAACCGCUGAAGGCAUCUAAGCGGGAAGCCCCCUUCAAAACUAGUAUUCCCUUGAGAGACGUUGCAGACCACGACGUUGAUAGGCUGGGUGUGGAAGCGUGGUAACACGUGAAGCUAACCAGUACUAAUUUCUCAAUUGGCUUAACAAUAU